GAUUAUUUGCUGCGGCUUUGGA
This 22-nucleotide microRNA is filed under the name Apis mellifera (honey bee). RNAcentral describes it as "ame-miR-9873-3p". Lineage: Eukaryota; Metazoa; Arthropoda; Insecta; Hymenoptera; Apidae. The record is from miRBase by way of RNAcentral.